GAGGCAUAGAGGCAAAAGGAUGAAAAAUGCACUCUGCGUGUCAGAAAAGGAAAUCCUGAGAGCAAGCGUCAGCGUCAGGGUUCCCUCAAUGAGUCUGGCAGACACACAGACCACAGAGGUUAAGUGGAGCUCAGGAGGAGAGUCCAGCUGUGAUGAAAGACAGAUCACAUAAGCCACCAGUCUCAAGUCAGGCCGGCGCAGCGGGACGCUUUGAUUGGAGAUGUGGCGAGAGCGGCAAGAAGGGAGUCCAGGGCCGGCCGCGCUGACGUUAUUGACCAGACCCCCAACAACAGAGACAUGAUGGAUGUUAGCUUAAGAUAUUAAAAAGCUAUUAUGAGCAGUUUUAGGUAAGGACUCAUGGGGAUUUUGGCUGCAAAUACCAGAUGUCUGCUAUAUUCCCUAAUUUUUCUCAAGAAACCGGUUGAUGUAAAUACUUUGUAUCUAUCAAAGUAAUAACAGGUCCUAUUAAAAAGCAGAAAUACAAAAAUUGAAAUUUGUCCUCUUUGCCAUUUCGAAAUUAAAA
Poecilia reticulata (guppy) is the source of this 523-nucleotide long non-coding RNA. RefSeq lists it as uncharacterized. NCBI's taxonomy places the organism in Eukaryota, Metazoa, Chordata, Actinopteri, Cyprinodontiformes, Poeciliidae. The record is from RefSeq and is a predicted model, not a curated record.